GCCCUAGUAACGGCGAGUGAAGCGGCAACAGCUCAAAUUUGAAAUCUGGCCCUCGGGUCCGAGUUGUAAUUUGUAGAGGAUGCUUUUGGUGCGGUGCCUUCCGAGUUCCCUGGAACGGGACGCCAUAGAGGGUGAGAGCCCCGUCUGGUCGGAUACCAAUCCUCUGUAAAGCUCCUUCGACGAGUCGAGUAGUUUGGGAAUGCUGCUCUAAAUGGGAGGUAUAUGUCUUCUAAAGCUAAAUACCGGCCAGAGACCGAUAGCGCACAAGUAGAGUGAUCGAAAGAUGAAAAGCACUUUGAAAAGAGGGUUAAACAGUACGUGAAAUUGUUGAAAGGGAAGCGCUUGUGACCAGACUUGGGCCCGGUUAAUCAUCCAGUGUUCUCACUGGUGCACUUGGCCGGCCCAGGCCAGCAUCAGUUCGGCGCGGGGGAUAAAGGCUUCGGGAAUGUGGCUCCUCCGGGAGUGUUAUAGCCCGUUGUGCAAUACCCUGCGCUGGACUGAGGUUCGCGCAUCUGCAAGGAUGCUGGCGUAAUGGUCAUCAGCGACCCGUCUUGAAACACGGACCAAGGAGUCGUCUUCGUAUGCGAGUGUUCGGGUGUUAAACCCCUACGCGUAAUGAAAGUGAACGCAGGUGAGAGCUUCGGCGCAUCAUCGACCGAUCCUGAUGUUCUCGGAUGGAUUUGAGUAAGAGCAUACGGGGCCGGACCCGAAAGAAGGUGAACUAUGCCUGUAUAGGGUGAAGCCAGAGGAAACUCUGGUGGAGGCUCGCAGCGGUUCUGACGUGCAAAUCGAUCGUCAAAUAUGGGCAUGGGGGCGAAAGACUAAU
RNAcentral lists this ribosomal RNA (826 nucleotides) under Fusicolla bharatavarshae. Its description in RNAcentral is "partial large subunit ribosomal RNA". It matches the Rfam family "Eukaryotic large subunit ribosomal RNA", at positions 77 to 935 of the family's 3401-position model. The record is from RNAcentral. Lineage: Eukaryota; Fungi; Ascomycota; Sordariomycetes; Hypocreales; Nectriaceae.